RNAcentral lists this unclassified non-coding RNA (403 nucleotides) under uncultured fungus. RNAcentral's name for it is "partial contains small subunit ribosomal RNA, internal transcribed spacer 1, and 5.8S ribosomal RNA". The stretch from base 1 to 73 matches the Rfam family "Eukaryotic small subunit ribosomal RNA", at positions 1759 to 1831 of the family's 1831-position model. Lineage: Eukaryota; Fungi. The record is from RNAcentral.
ACAAACUUGGUCAUUUAGAGGAAGUAAAAGUCGUAACAAGGUCUCCGUUGGUGAACCAGCGGAGGGAUCAUUACGAGUUCUGCGGCCCCCGCGCCGACGACUCUUCAACCCGACAGUGCAAUUUUAUCGCCCGGAAACGGCUACGGCCGAUUCCUGGCGCCGCCCAGGCAGGGCCGCUCGCUGGGGGAGCCAAUAUAAAUAAGGCGGCCGGUCCCUUCUGACCGGUGGCCCUGCCGAAGCGACAGCCCCGAGAGGGUGCUGGAGCUGAAUGGAAAACACAGCGAUCGACCCCAUAGGGGGAAGCCCGUCAUGGGCAACAUCUUUCUGAGAACAAGAAAUAAACCGAGAAAUUACAACUCAUAACAAUGGAUCUCUUGGCUCCGGCAUCGAUGAAGAACGCAGC